CGGGGUAUGGCGCAGUCUGGUAGCGCACCUGCUUUGGGAGCAGGGGGUCGUGGGUUCGAAUCCCCCUACCCCGA
RNAcentral lists this transfer RNA (74 nucleotides) under Candidatus Kentrum sp. FM. RNAcentral describes it as "Candidatus Kentron sp. FM tRNA_Pro_TGG". It matches the Rfam family "tRNA". Rfam says of the family: Transfer RNA (tRNA) molecules are approximately 80 nucleotides in length. Their secondary structure includes four short double-helical elements and three loops (D, anti-codon, and T loops). Further hydrogen bonds mediate the characteristic L-shaped molecular structure. tRNAs have two regions of fundamental functional importance: the anti-codon, which is responsible for specific mRNA codon recognition, and the 3' end, to which the tRNAs corresponding amino acid is attached (by aminoacyl-tRNA synthetases). tRNAs cope with the degeneracy of the genetic code in two manners: having more than one tRNA (with a specific anti-codon) for a particular amino acid; and 'wobble' base-pairing, i.e. permitting non-standard base-pairing at the 3rd anti-codon position. The record is from RNAcentral. Lineage: Bacteria; Pseudomonadati; Pseudomonadota; Gammaproteobacteria.